AAUAUUGGACAAUGGGCGCAAGCCUGAUCCAGCCAUGCCGCGUGAGUGAUGAAGGCCCUAGGGUUGUAAAGCUCUUUUGUGCGGGAAGAUAAUGACGGUACCGCAAGAAUAAGCCCCGGCUAACUUCGUGCCAGCAGCCGCGGUAAUACGAAGGGGGCUAGCGUUGCUCGGAAUCACUGGGCGUAAAGCGCACGUAGGCGGGUUCUUAAGUCAGAGGUGAAAUCCUGGAGCUCAACUCCAGAACUGCCUUUGAUACUGGGAGUCUAGAGUUCGGGAGAGGUGAGUGGAACUGCGAGUGUAGAGGUGAAAUUCGUAGAUAUUCGCAAGAACACCAGUGGCGAAGGCGGCUCACUGGCCCGAUACUGACGCUGAGGUGCGAAAGCGUGGGGAGCAAACAGG
Molecule: ribosomal RNA, 399 nt
Filed under: uncultured bacterium
Lineage: Bacteria
Description: partial 16S ribosomal RNA
Rfam family: Bacterial small subunit ribosomal RNA
Source: RNAcentral